Molecule: ribosomal RNA, 460 nt
Filed under: uncultured bacterium
Lineage: Bacteria
Description: partial 16S ribosomal RNA
Rfam family: Bacterial small subunit ribosomal RNA
Source: RNAcentral
CCUACGGGAGGCAGCAGUGAGGAAUAUUGGUCAAUGGGCGCGAGCCUGAACCAGCCAAGUCGCGUGAGGGAUGACUGCCCUACGUGUUGUAAACUUCUUUUGUAAAGGAAUAAAGUGAGGCACGUGUGCCUUUUUGUAUGUACUUUAUGAAUAAGGAUCGGCUAACUCCGUGCCAGCAGCCGCGGUAAUACGGAGGAUCCGAGCGUUAUCCGGAUUUAUUGGGUUUAAAGGGAGCGUAGAUGGGUUGUUAAGUCAGUUGUGAAAGUUUGGGGCUCAACCGUAAAACUGCAAUUGAUACUGGCAGUCUGGAGUAGAGUUGAGGUAGGCGGAAUUCGUGGUGUAGCGGUGAAAUGCGUAGAUAUCACGAAGAACUCCGAUUGCGAAGGCAGCUUACUAGACUGCCACUGACAUUGAUGCUCGAAAGUGUGGGUAUCAAACAGGAUUAGAUACCCCUGUAGUC